Molecule: ribosomal RNA, 459 nt
Filed under: uncultured bacterium
Lineage: Bacteria
Description: partial 16S ribosomal RNA
Rfam family: Bacterial small subunit ribosomal RNA
Source: RNAcentral
CCUACGGGUGGCUGCAGUGAGGAAUAUUGGUCAAUGGCCGCAGGGCUGAACCAGCCAAGUCGCGUGAGGGAUGACGGUCCUAUGGAUUGUAAACCUCUUUUGUCAGGGAGCAAAGGGCGCCACGUGUGGUGUUUUGCGAGUACCUGAAGAAAAAGCAUCGGCUAACUCCGUGCCAGCAGCCGCGGUACUACGGAGGAUGCGAGCGUUAUCCGGAUUUAUGGGGUUUAAAGGGUGCGCAGGCGGACUGUUAAGUCAGCGGUAAAAUUUCGGGGCUCAACCCCGUCGUGCCGUUGAAACUGGCGUACUUGAGUGAGCGAGAAGUAAGCGGAAUGCGUGGUGUAGCGGUGAAAUGCAUAGAUAUCACGAAGAACUCCGAUUGCGAAGGCAGCUUACCGGCGCUCAACUGACGCUCAUGCACGAAAGCGUGGGUAUCGAACAGGAUUAGAUACCCGUGUAGUC